GUAGCUGGCUGCCGCCGCUACCGUCGUGACGUCACGGGUGCCUUGGGCGCUGCUGCGGUGGUUGUGGGGUGGUAGUAGCAGCAUCCUGCAGUAAGUCUACUACUGCCUCCACAGCUGACGAGAGCUGCAUCCGAGACGCCCGUGACGUCACUGCUGUAGUGGUGGCAGUCUGCUACUACAUCCACAGUUACUGCAGCGUAGAGUCAGGUCUAUGAAAUAAUGUGGCCAGCUUCAAGUCCAGGCACAUCCCUUUGGACAAGAACCAGCAUCACCUCCUAUUUUACUACGACUGUACGAGACAAAUGAAAUAAAUAACAGCAUUACUGAAA
Long non-coding RNA from Frankliniella occidentalis (western flower thrips), 329 nucleotides. RefSeq lists it as uncharacterized. NCBI's taxonomy places the organism in Eukaryota, Metazoa, Arthropoda, Insecta, Thysanoptera, Thripidae. The record is from RefSeq and is a predicted model, not a curated record. The transcript has 2 exons.